CCCCCUCUCUGCCCUCACGGUUUUGUUUCUGGGAGCUCACGAGCAACUUCCCAGUGGGUCACCCAUCCUGGGAUUGCUCUGGCCCCCAACUCGCUUAACUUCGGAGUUCCUACGACUUCGAAGCCAGUGAGCUCCCAAAAGGCCUCGUGCUAGAUGGAUGCGGGUGUGCACAUAUAAGGCACAUCACCCCCCCUCCGUUGGUUGAUGUGGGAUCUUACAAUCCACCCCCCUUAAGGGCCCGACGUCCUCGUCGGCACACUCGCACCACACGACAGAGUGGCUCUGAUACCAAAUUGUCACACCCCGGGAUCGGCUCCGCCGUAGCACGAUAUUGUCCGCUUUGGGCCCCCCUCUCUGCCCUCACGGUUUUGUUUUUGGGAACUCACGAGCAACUUCCCAGUGGGUCACCCAUCCUGGGAUUGCUCCAGCCCCCAACUCGCUUAACUUCGGAGUUCCUACGACUCCGAAGCCAAUGAGCUCCCAAAAGGCCUCGUGCUAGAUGGAUGCGGGUGUGCACAUAUAAGGCACAUCACCC
This 535-nucleotide long non-coding RNA is filed under the name Prunus dulcis (almond). RNAcentral describes it as "sRNA ncRNA". Lineage: Eukaryota; Viridiplantae; Streptophyta; Magnoliopsida; Rosales; Rosaceae. The record is from RNAcentral.